UAGGGCCCCACCCACAUGGCCUCCUGUAACCUUAAUUACCUCUUGAAAGACUGUCUCCAAAUAUAGUCACGUUUGGGGGUUCAGACUUCUGAAUACGAAUUUGGGAGAGGACACAAUCCUGUACAUAACACCACCCAAGGUAAAAAAAAAAAGAAAAAAAAAAUUUCUAAGCACUUGCAUUUGUUUUUCUUAACGUGGCUGGGAUCAGCCUCCACCCCACUCACUCCAGCCGCCUUCUCAAUCAUACACCUGAUAGAAGACUAAGAUCAUCGGGCGGGGAGGCCCAGUGGGUUACGCGUCUGCCUUCAGCUCAGGUCAUGAUCCAUGGGUCCUGGGACUGAGUCCCAAGUCCUGCAUCGGGCCCCCUGCUCAGCGCGGAACCCCUUCCUCUGCCUCUGCCCUCCCCCUCCCCCCUGCUUGUGCUCUCGCUCGCUCUCAAAUAAACUUAAAAAAAAAAAAAGACUAAGAUGAUCAUAAAUACCUUCUGAAAGGCUUUCUUAGUACCGUAGAGACCUUCUCGACUUUUAUAACUUCUAAUAAUAAUUAUUUUGACUACUGAGAUAAAGUUCUUGCUUACUGCCAGACUCUGGGCUCUGUUCUGCAGAGUCGUGGACCACAACAGCUCAUUGCUCAAUCGGGGCAGUCACGUGAAUUUACUUUGGCUCUUUCUCACUUCCUAAAACCCCAACUCCUGGGUGGGUGACAGUGUGCGUGGUAAGUAUAAAUCACUCAUCAACUUCAACAAACAUUUGUUGAGUACGCCGUAUGUCGAAUUCUCUAAAAGACAGUAGGAAUGCGAAAAUCCGUAAACUACAUUUUCAACUCUUGGAUUCAGCUUCAGGAAAGGCGUUGUGACUCGAUCGUCCCGCCCGCCCCUCACCAGCCUGGACAACGUUGCAUUACCUCUGUGGUCCCACCCUUUACCUUUUGUCCUCUUUCCGUAAAAAAGGCUUUGUAGACCCUCUUGACUGCCUUAAAAUGAAAUUCAUAGAUAAUAUAAUCUACCUAAAGACCUGGUUUUAAAUAAAAUGUGUAACAUGUCUUUUCUUUUUUCUUUU
This 1058-nucleotide long non-coding RNA is filed under the name Canis lupus dingo (dingo). RNAcentral describes it as "lncRNA (ENSCAFG00020027251.1)". The record is from RNAcentral. Lineage: Eukaryota; Metazoa; Chordata; Mammalia; Carnivora; Canidae.